This 1175-nucleotide unclassified non-coding RNA is filed under the name Hevea brasiliensis (rubber tree). Lineage: Eukaryota; Viridiplantae; Streptophyta; Magnoliopsida; Malpighiales; Euphorbiaceae. The record is from RNAcentral.
CGGCUGUACAUGUACCCUUCAUAAUACACUUUGAAGUUCUGUUUUCUUGGGCAGUAAGACAGCAUGUUUGCAUCCUAUCUCAAAUCACACAAUGUACACACCUCACUAUACGGAUUUACCCAUAGACAUUUAGAUUUUUAUGCCCCAGUCCAACGUAAUUCUCCCCAAAUAAAACAGUCCAUCAAAUCCAGUAGUACAAUGCUUCACAAUUAAGUUGGAUGAUACUCCUAUGCAGGGUGUCAAGGUUCACUAUCACUCAUUGCCUAUGUUGCUUUAGUUGGAGGGAAAUAAUGGGCUAUGGUCAAACCUUGUUUAACUGUAUUAGGCCGCUUGCGAGGCCGAAGCCAAGACCGGACUUCAUCUUGGAUUUCUUGUGGUAACUCAUCAAUCACUGAUGGGUCAAUCUCAUCAAUCUUGUAAUGCCAUGCUUCUCUAUGUACAUUCUGACUUAAACUAUGUCUGCAAUCAUUUGUGCUGCACUCUGCAAGAAGAAGACUCUCCUUUGGCAGCUCAUCAACUUCAUUCGCUUCUAAACCUUGAACCACGCCAACAUUCUCCAGUUUUGGUUUAGAGCAAGAGGGAUCGCUCUUCUUGAAGAACUUGAGGAUUGUGCCCUUGUCUUCCAAGGCAUUUCUUUUCUGUUCCUGUUGUUCUAAUUUAGGCAGUAUAACCCUAGUGUCAUCCCUAAAGAAACAUCCCCGUGAGUUGCUUUGGUUUACUGCUGAACAACUUUCACCACCUGAGGGUAAUGGCUGUGAAGUUGGCUGUGAAGUUUCUAGGGCAAAGCCAUCUUUUGCUUGUUUGGGCGAAGAGCAAAAUGAAUCUUUAUCUCUCGAUUCACUGAUUUUCUGUCCUUGUAGAUCCAAACAAGGAAAAUUAUAGUCACUUUGUGGCUCAGCUGAUUUCAGUUCUGAAUAGCUUUCAGUACCUGAUGACAAUAGUGGUGCAGAUUCUUGGAUGAAGUUAUCUGGAGUUUGCUUUGAAGAUGAGUGGGAUGGAUACUGGCCUUGAAAAUAUUUCAUGAUUGAACAUGUUCCAGAAGGUACAGCAACAAUUUUACUUGCUGAAACAGAAAGAGCUGUUAUUCCCCAUCCAUUGUGAUUACUUCCUUGAAUUUUUACUCCACACGAGCCCAAAUACUCACGUAAUCCAGCUUGAAACAGGUUGAAUGCAUC